RNA transcript from Ornithodoros turicata, 1416 nucleotides. RefSeq lists it as uncharacterized. The transcript has 8 exons. Lineage: Eukaryota; Metazoa; Arthropoda; Arachnida; Ixodida; Argasidae. The record is from RefSeq and is a predicted model, not a curated record.
GUCUGCUCUCAUGGCCUCCGCAUUGCUCGCCGAGCAGGAAAUAUGUCCACUUGGGGCGAGCGAAGACGACGACGAUUUAGGGCAUCUACUGAUUGCGGAACAAGAUUUGUUUCGUGAGCAUCUGCCUCACUUGGGCACCACGACUUGCUUCUGUAAUUCUUCGACUAUGUUCUCUUAAUCUGAUGCCAGCAUACUUUUGCAGGAUCACUUUCGCCAGUGAAAUUAUGUGAUCAGGCUCCUCUGCAUAGUGCUGGCACAGUGGUAGCUUGUCACCGUGUGUUAGGAUGAAGUGGUUAAACGAUUUCAAAACGAUCACCCGCACUACAAGCUUCACAGACCUCAAUUUCUCGAGACGAAAGGUCUGGUCUGCUCAGCGCAACACAGGAGACGUGUAACAAAGGAGGAUGGUUUAACCAGCCCUGCAUUGUCCCUGAGCAUGAUGAGAACACUUGAUGUCUCGUCAUCUAGGAGUGUGUCCAAACAACCAUUACAGGCGCGACAUUCGCAGAGCUUGGGGCCUGAACUUCAGCGUGUAUCAGAAGCUUCCUGUAGGCAUGACGGAAUUGGGAAGCUGAUGGGUUGUUAUUCCAUCCUCCUCUUUGCCUGAUGCAGCUGAAGAACAGUUCCAAGUGGUCAUGGCUGAGGCGACCUCUACAUGUUACCUGCAUGCGCCCGCCUGGAACAGCGCUUCUGCCAGCUGUGCAACACUUUUUAGCGUAAAGGCCACGCUGAUGACUGACAUGCGUCUCCCAUGCUGAGCAGCUAGCUCCCCGGAUGGAAGUCGCAGUGUCAUCAUUCUUGACGACAAUCUUUAGUGGCCACAGUCAUGAAACUGAAAGGCCUACUCAUCUACGUCGGCAAUGAACGAAGCGGUUGCGUCACUUCCUUCAAAUUCGGUCAAUCCCAGGAGCCGUGCGUGGGUCAGGGCUUUGCUCACGGAUGAACUUAGAGUCUGCGCUGCAAGGCGGACCUUCAUGAUCUGGCGGCCAAACUCAAUAUGGGAUCUGGGUCAGUUGCAGCCGUCGACGGACACCACGCAGCAGCAGAAGAACCUGACAGCAGAAAGCAGCAGGAAUAAGAAAUGACAUACAGACAUAUACUCACUGCUUUCCGCUUUUGUGGCAGCUUACAGUAGGGAUGGUCCUCAUGGUCAAACAGGCAGUGGAACAGCUGGAGAAGGGACGGCGGGCUCUGCUUGCUCAGCACUGGCUUCAAGCAUUUCCUGGAAAACAUGGAGUGAAGGCAGUCAUGCAGGGGGGUGGCUGCACAAACUACUAUAUGUACUUACCAGGGAAACUGUGUCAGCACCACUUUCAUCUUUCAUCUGGCUGGCUGGCUGUUACUUGGCUCUAAAAAAGUUCUUCCAUUAUUAUCUCCUUUUGUAUCAUUUUAAAAGUAAUAAAGAAUAACCGGAUA